UAAAAUUCGAGGAAUAUAUUUUAUUAUUUUGCAGAACUGUUAUAUAUAAUUCGGUGGCUUAUUAUAUCUUCAGAAUUCUUUCUUUAUUCUGAAAAAGUGAAAAAGGACGAAUUCUAAACUGUCAUACUUUUCAUUCUAGAGCAAGAAGAUAUUUUCCAGUAUGCAAGUUAUGUUUUAUUUCUUUAUUGUGGCCGUCUUGCUAGCUUCGACUGUCGCAUACUGGGGGCAUGGCAGUGGCAGUAGAUGGCAGUGGCACUACCCAGAUUAUCCAGGUAUUUACCCAUAUCCCUGGGGGAAGAAAUGAACACAGAAAUUUAAGGUUAAAGAAUCAAGAUUUGGAUAAAAUUUUGACUUUCGUGAAAAAAUGAUCUUGAUUCCGAAAAUACCCGGAUCACCACCUGAUAUUGUAACACAAUAAUAGUAAUAAUAGAAAGAACGUUUUGAAUCCUGUUGUUCGAUCUCUUUUUAUCAAAGUAAAUAGCAUAUGAAUUUAUGAUACUGAAAAUAAUACGAUUAGGAAAUUAUA
Molecule: long non-coding RNA, 526 nt
Organism: Argiope bruennichi
Lineage: Eukaryota; Metazoa; Arthropoda; Arachnida; Araneae; Araneidae
Exons: 3
Source: RefSeq, a predicted model, not a curated record